This 757-nucleotide ribosomal RNA is filed under the name uncultured bacterium. RNAcentral describes it as "bacterial SSU rRNA". It matches the Rfam family "Bacterial small subunit ribosomal RNA", at positions 91 to 916 of the family's 1533-position model. The record is from RNAcentral.
ACGAGUGGCGAACGGGUGAGUAAUGCGAAGGAAUUUACCUUAUAGUUUGGUUAAAUGCCUCAUACAGAAAAUUUUUUGCUAUAUGAUGAGCCUUCGCAGGAUUAGGUAGUUGGUAAGAUAAUAGCUCACCAAGCCGAUGAUCCUUAAUUGGUCUGAGAGGACGUACAGUCACACUAGAACUGAGACAAGGUCUAGACAUCUAAGGAUGGCAGCAGUGGGGAAUCCUGAACAAUGAGCGAAAGCUUGAUUCAGUGAUAUAGAGUGAAUAAUGAAGGCCAUUAGGUUGUAAAGUUCUUUUACCAAGAAAGAUUUUGACUUUAUUUGGAGAAAAAGCCCUGGCAAAUUUCGUGCCAGCAGCCGCGGUGAUACGAAAAGGGCUAGUGUUAUUCGGAAUAAUUGGGUGUAAAGGGUGAGUAGGCUGUAAUCAUAGUUAACUUUUAAAUCUUAGUAGUAAUUACUAAAUCAAUUUUUAAUAACAAAUUACUAGAGUAAAGGAGAGGAUGGUAGAAUUUCAAGUGGAGAAAUAAAAUUUGUAGAUUUUUGAAGGAAUAUCGAAAGCGAAGGCAACUAUCUGGCUUUAUACUGACGCUGAUUCACGAAAGCUUAGGUAGCAACCAGGAUUAGAGACCCUGUUAGUCUAAGCCGUAAACUAUGGAUACUCAUUUUCGGAUAAUAACUGUUCGGAAAUUUAGCUAACGCGUUAAGUGUCCCACCUGAGAAGUACAGCGGCAACGCUGAAACUCAAAUGAAUUGACGG